Molecule: ribosomal RNA, 878 nt
Filed under: uncultured organism
Description: SSU rRNA
Rfam family: Bacterial small subunit ribosomal RNA
Source: RNAcentral
CUUAACCCUGAGCGUGCUUUCGAUACGGGUUGACUGAGGGAAGGUAGGGGAGAAUGGAAUUCCCGGUGGAGCGGUGGAAUGCGCAGAUAUCAGGAGGAACACCAGUGGCGAAGGCGGUUCUCCGGGCCUUUCCUGACGCUGAGGAGCGAAAGCGUGGGGAGCGAACAGGCUUAGAUACCCUGGUAGCCCACGCUGUAAACGGUGGGUACUAGGUGUGGGGUCCAUUCCACGGGUUCCGUGCCGUAGCUAACGCUUUAAGUACCCCGCCUGGGGAGUACGGCCGCAAGGCUAAAACUCAAAGGAAUUGACGGGGCCCCGCACAAGCGGCGGAGCAUGCGGAUUAAUUCGAUGCAACGCGUAGAACCUUACCUGGGUUUGACAUGGAUCGGGAGUGCUCAGAGAUGGGUGUGCCUCUUUUGGGGUCGGUUCACAGGUGGUGCAUGGCUGUCGUCAGCUCGUGUCGUGAGAUGUUGGGUUAAGUCCCGCAACGAGCGCAACCCUUGUUCACUGUUGCCAGCACGUUAUGGUGGGGACUCAGUGGAGACCGCCGGGGUCAACUCGGAGGAAGGUGGGGAUGACGUCAAGUCAUCAUGCCCCUUAUGUCCAGGGCUUCACGCAUGCUACAAUGGCUGGUACAGAGAGUGGCGAGCCUGUGAGGGUGAGCGAAUCUCGGAAAGCCGGUCUCAGUUCGGAUUGGGGUCUGCAACUCGACCUCAUGAAGUCGGAGUCGCUAGUAAUCGCAGAUCAGCAACGCUGCGGUGAGUACGUUCCCGGGGCUUGUACACACCGCCCGUCAAGUCAUGAAAGUUGGUAACACCCGAAGCCGGUGGCCUAACCGUUGUGGGGGAGCCGUCGAAGGUGGGACUGGUGAUUAGGAC